Molecule: ribosomal RNA, 445 nt
Filed under: uncultured bacterium
Lineage: Bacteria
Description: SSU rRNA
Rfam family: Bacterial small subunit ribosomal RNA
Source: RNAcentral
AGAGCGAACGCUGGCGGCAGGCCUAACACAUGCAAGUCGAGCGCCGUAGCAAUACGGAGCGGCAGACGGGAGAGUAACACGUGGGAACGUACCCUUUGGUUCGGAACAACCCAGGGAAACUUGGGCUAAUACCGAAUAAGCCCUUACGGGGAAAGAUUUAUCGCCGAAGGAUCGGCCCGCGUCUGAUUAGCUAGUUGGUGGGGUAACGGCCCACCAAGGCGACGAUCAGUAGCUGGUCUGAGAGGAUGAUCAGCCUCAUUGGGACUGAGACACGGCCCAAACUCCUACGGGAGGCAGCAGUGGGGAAUAUUGGACAAUGGGCGCAAGCCUGAUCCAGCCAUGCCGCGUGGGUGAUGAAGGCCCUAGGGUUGUAAAGCCCUUUGGCGGGGAAGAUAAUGACGGUACCCGCAGAAGAAGCCCCGGCUAACUUCGUGCCAGCAGCCGC